This 406-nucleotide ribosomal RNA is filed under the name uncultured bacterium. RNAcentral describes it as "partial 16S ribosomal RNA". It matches the Rfam family "Bacterial small subunit ribosomal RNA", at positions 30 to 526 of the family's 1533-position model. The record is from RNAcentral.
AUUGAACGCUGGCGGCAGGCUUAACACAUGCAAGUCGAGCGAGCGGCGGACGGGUGAGUCAUGUCUGGGAAACUGCCUGAUGGAGGGGGAUAACUACUGGAAACGGUAGCUAAUACCGCAUACCAUCAGAUGUGCCCAGAUGGGAUUAGCUAGUAGGUGGGGUAAUGGCUCACCUAGGCGACGAUCCCUAGCUGGUCUGAGAGGAUGACCAGCACACCGGGAACUGAGCCACGGUCCGGACUCCUACGGGAGGCAGCAGUGGGGAAUAUUGCACAAUGGGCGCAAGCUUGAUGCAGCAAUGCGGAGUGUAUGAAGAAGGCCUUCGGGUUGUAAAGCACUUUCAGCGAGGAGGCGUUACUCGCAGAAGAAGCAACGGCUAACUCCGUGCCAGCAGCCGCGGUAAUUC